UUGCACGCUGGCGGCCUGCUUUACCCCUGCACGUCGAACGGCAGCGCGGGCUUCGGCCUGGCGGCGAGUGGCGAACGGGUGAGUAAUGCAUCGGAACGUGCCCAGUAGUGGGGGAUAGCCCGGCGAAAGCCGGAUUAAUACCGCAUACGACCUGAGGGUGAAAGCGGGGGACCGAAAGGCCUCGCGCUAUUGGAGCGGCCGAUGUCGGAUUAGCUAGUUGGUGGGGUAAAGGCUUACCAAGGCGACGAUCCGUAGCUGGUCUGAGAGGACGACCAGCCACACUGGGACUGAGACACGGCCCAGACUCCUACGGGAGGCAGCAGUGGGGAAUUUUGGACAAUGGGGGCAACCCUGAUCCAGCCAUGCCGCGUGCGGGAAGAAGGCCUUCGGGUUGUAAACCGCUUUUGUUCGGGAAGAAAUCCUCUGGGCUAAUACCCCGGGGGGAUGACGGUACCGGAAGAAUAAGCACCGGCUAACUACGUG
RNAcentral lists this ribosomal RNA (483 nucleotides) under uncultured bacterium. RNAcentral describes it as "partial 16S ribosomal RNA". It matches the Rfam family "Bacterial small subunit ribosomal RNA", at positions 29 to 507 of the family's 1533-position model. The record is from RNAcentral.